Molecule: ribosomal RNA, 437 nt
Filed under: uncultured bacterium
Lineage: Bacteria
Description: partial 16S ribosomal RNA
Rfam family: Bacterial small subunit ribosomal RNA
Source: RNAcentral
AGCGAACGCUGGCGGCAGGCUUAACACAUGCAAGUCGAGCGGGCAUCCUUGUGGUGUCAGCGGCAGACGGGUGAGUAACGCGUGGGAACGUCCCCUUCGGUUCGGAAUAACUCAGGGAAACUUGAGCUAAUACCGGAUACGUGCGAGAGCAGAAAGGUUUAUCUGCCGAAGGAUCGGCCCGCGUCUGAUUAGCUAGUUGGUGAGGUUACGGCUCACCAAGGCGACGAUCAGUAGCUGGUCUGAGAGGAUGAUCAGCCACACUGGGACUGAGACACGGCCCAGACUCCUACGGGAGGCAGCAGUGGGGAAUAUUGGACAAUGGGGGCAACCCUGAUCCAGCCAUGCCGCGUGAGUGAUGACGGCCUUAGGGUUGUAAAGCUCUUUUCUCCGGGACGAUAAUGACGGUACCGGAGGAAUAAGCCCCGGCUAACUUCGUG